This 280-nucleotide long non-coding RNA is filed under the name Homo sapiens (human). RNAcentral describes it as "non-protein coding lnc-ATXN7L3B-5:1". The record is from RNAcentral. Lineage: Eukaryota; Metazoa; Chordata; Mammalia; Primates; Hominidae.
AAACAGAAUAAAGUUAAAAAACUAAAACCUGAAUUUCCUAUAUACACACCUUUAGAAAGUAUAUAGAUUCACUCUUAUGAUCAUGGAACUUCUAUAGAAGAAAUUGAGGAACAAAUGGAUGAUUGGUUGGAAAACAGGAACUGAACACAGAAGAAAAAAUGCACCUGAAUGGACAGAAGAGGACCUCAGCCAACUGAUAAGAAGUAUGGUUAAGUUCCCAGGAGGGACUCCAGGUCGAUGGGAAAAGAUUGCCCACGAAUUGGGUCGAUCUGUGACACAU